GAUGAACGCUGGCGGCGUGCCUAAUACAUGCAAGUCGAGCGAACGGACGAGGAGCUUGCUCCUCUGACGUUAGCGGCGGACGGGUGAGUAACACGUGGAUAACCUACCUAUAAGACUGGGAUAACUUCGGGAAACCGGAGCUAAUACCGGAUAAUAUAUUGAACCGCAUGGUUCAAUAGUGAAAGACGGUUUUGCUGUCACCUAUAGAUGGAUCCGCGCCGCAUUAGCUAGUUGGUAAGGUAACGGCUUACCAAGGCAACGAUGCGUAGCCGACCUGAGAGGGUGAUCGGCCACACUGGAACUGAGACACGGUCCAGACUCCUACGGGAGGCAGCAGUAGGGAAUCUUUCGCAAUGGGCGAAAGCCUGACGGAGCAACGCCGCGUGAGUGAUGAAGGUCUUCGGAUCGUAAAACUCUGUUAUUAGGGAAGAACAAAUGUGUAAGUAACUAUGCACGUCUUGACGGUACCUAAUCAGAAAGCCACGGCUAACUACGUG
This 497-nucleotide ribosomal RNA is filed under the name uncultured bacterium. Its description in RNAcentral is "partial 16S ribosomal RNA". It matches the Rfam family "Bacterial small subunit ribosomal RNA", at positions 28 to 507 of the family's 1533-position model. The record is from RNAcentral.